This 483-nucleotide ribosomal RNA is filed under the name uncultured bacterium. RNAcentral's name for it is "bacterial SSU rRNA". It matches the Rfam family "Bacterial small subunit ribosomal RNA", at positions 974 to 1451 of the family's 1533-position model. The record is from RNAcentral.
CCAAGGCUUAAAUGCAGACUGACCGAUUUGGAAACAGNUCUUUNGCAAGACAGUUUACAAGGUGCUGCAUGGUUGUCGUCAGCUCGUGCCGUGAGGUGUCAGGUUAAGUCCUAUAACGAGCGCAACCCCUGUUGUUAGUUGCCAACGAGUCAUGUCGGGAACUCUAACAAGACUGCCAGUGCAAACUGUGAGGAAGGUGGGGAUGACGUCAAAUCAUCACGGCCCUUACGCCUUGGGCUACACACGUGCUACAAUGGCCGGUACAGAGAGCAGCCACUGGGUGACCAGGAGCGAAUCUAUAAAGCCGGUCACAGUUCGGAUCGGAGUCUGCCAACUCGACUCCCUUGAAAGCNUGGAAUCGCUAGUAAUCGGGAUAUCAAGCCAUGAUCNCGGUGAAUAACGUUCCCGGGCCUUGNACACACCCGCCCGUCAAGCCAUGGAAAGCUGGGGGGUGCCUGAANUCCGGNGACCCGCAAAGGAGCU